UCCACUCUGGUGCAGUGGUUACACUUGCUGCGUCCUCGAAUUGACGGGUGCAGUAUGUCGGAGGUUCAAUUCCUUCGGGUGGCA
Non-coding RNA from Mycena filopes, 84 nucleotides. NCBI's taxonomy places the organism in Eukaryota, Fungi, Basidiomycota, Agaricomycetes, Agaricales, Mycenaceae. The record is from the annotation of a GenBank genome assembly.